CGUCUAUAUACGUAUAGCAUAUCAAUAAGCGGAGGAAAAGAAACUAACUAGGAUUCCCUCAGUAACGGCGAGUGAAGCGGGAAGAGCUCAAAUUUGAAAUCUUCAAGGUUUUACCUUGACGAAUUGUAGUUUAUAGAAGUGUUUUCUGUUAGUAGAGUUUGUAAAAAGUUCUUUGGAAUAGGACAUCAUAGAGGGUGAGAAUCCCGUAUUUGACCAUUACUUUCCUAGCUUUGUGAUACACUUUCAAAGAGUCGGAUUGUUUGGGAAUGCAGUCCAAAAUGGGUGGUAAAUUUCAUCUAAAGCUAAAUAUUGGCGAGAGACCGAUAGCGAACAAGUACCGUGAGGGAAAGAUGAAAAGAACUUUGAAAAGAGAGUUAAACAGUACGUGAAAUUGUCAAAAGGGAAGCGUUUGACACCAGUGUUGUUUUUCCGAAAAUCAAUUACGAACUGUUUUAGUUUUUGAGGAGUUAUGACUUCAUCGGCUUGCUCCCUUCUUUAUGAAACUUUCUUAAUGCACUUUUCGGUUAACAAGUCAACAUCAAUUUCUUUUGUUGUAAAAGGGUAUGAGGAAGGUGGCUUUCUUUUCGGAGAAAGUGUUUAUAGCCUUGUGCCUCUGCAAUCGGAGAGAUUGAGGUCUGCAGCGUAGGCCCUUCGGGGUUAGAUACAGUUUGUGCUAAGUUAUAGCUUUUCAUAGACAACUUGUUGACUAUGUUUAGUCUUGUAGCUUACUCGCUUAUGCUAUUUUACCUACGCUUAGGAUGUUGACGAGACUGUCGAUCUC
RNAcentral lists this ribosomal RNA (781 nucleotides) under uncultured Neocallimastigales. RNAcentral's name for it is "partial large subunit ribosomal RNA". It matches the Rfam family "Eukaryotic large subunit ribosomal RNA", at positions 26 to 647 of the family's 3401-position model. Lineage: Eukaryota; Fungi; Neocallimastigomycota; Neocallimastigomycetes; Neocallimastigales. The record is from RNAcentral.